AGAGUUUGAUCAUGGCUCAGGACGAACGCUGGCGGCGUGCCUAAUACAUGCAAGUAGAACGCUGAAGAGAGGAGCUUGCUCUUCUUGGAUGAGUUGCGAACGGGUGAGUAACGCGUAGGUAACCUGCCUUGUAGCGGGGGAUAACUAUUGGAAACGAUAGCUAAUACCGCAUAACAAUGGAUGACCCAUGUCAUUUAUUUGAAAGGGGCAAAUGCUCCACUACAAGAUGGACCUGCGUUGUAUUAGCUAGUAGGUGAGGUAACGGCUCACCUAGGCGACGAUACAUAGCCGACCUGAGAGGGUGAUCGGCCACACUGGGACUAAGACACGGCCCAGACUCCUACGGGAGGCAGCAGUAGGGAAUCUUCGGCAAUGGGGGCAACCCUGACCGAGCAACGCCGCGUGAGUGAAGAAGGUUUUCGGAUCGUAAAGCUCUGUUGUAAGUCAAGAACGAGUGUGAGAGUGGAAAGUUCACACUGUGACGGUAGCUUACCAGAAAGGGACGGCUAACUACGUGCCAGCAGCCGCGGUAAUACGUAGGUCCCGAGCGUUGUCCGGAUUUAUUGGGCGUAAAGCGAGCGCAGGCGGUUUGAUAAGUCUGAAGUUAAAGGCUGUGGCUCAACCAUAGUUCGCUUUGGAAACUGUCAAACUUGAGUGCAGAAGGGGAGAGUGGAAUUCCAUGUGUAGCGGUGAAAUGCGUAGAUAUAUGGAGGAACACCGGUGGCGAAAGCGGCUCUCUGGUCUGUAACUGACGCUGAGGCUCGAAAGCGUGGGGAGCGAACAGGAUUAGAUACCCUGGUAGUCCACGCCGUAAACGAUGAGUGCUAGGUGUUGGAUCCUUUCCGGGAUUCAGUGCCGCAGCUAACGCAUUAAGCACUCCGCCUGGGGAGUACGACCGCAAGGUUGAAACUCAAAGGAAUUGACGGGGGCCCGCACAAGCGGUGGAGCAUGUGGUUUAAUUCGAAGCAACGCGAAGAACCUUACCAGGUCUUGACAUCCCGAUGCUAUUUCUAGAGAUAGAAAGUUACUUCGGUACAUCGGUGACAGGUGGUGCAUGGUUGUCGUCAGCUCGUGUCGUGAGAUGUUGGGUUAAGUCCCGCAACGAGCGCGACCCCUAUUGUUAGUUGCCAUCAUUCAGUUGGGCACUCUAGCGAGACUGCCGGUAAUAAACCGGAGGAAGGUGGGGAUGAUGUCAAAUCAUCAUGCCCCUUAUGACCUGGGCUACACACGUGCUACAAUGGUUGGUACAACGAGUUGCGAGUCGGUGACGGCAAGCUAAUCUCUUAAAGCCAAUCUCAGUUCGGAUUGUAGGCUGCAACUCGCCUACAUGAAGUCGGAAUCGCUAGUAAUCGCGGACCAGCACGCCGCGGUGAAUACGUUCCCGGGCCUUGUACACACCGCCCGUCACACCACGAGAGUUUGUAACACCCGAAGUCGGUGAGGUAACCUUUUGGAGCCAGCCGCCUAAGGUGGGAUAGAUGAUUGGGGUGAAGUCGUAACAAGGUA
RNAcentral lists this ribosomal RNA (1506 nucleotides) under metagenome. Its description in RNAcentral is "bacterial SSU rRNA". It matches the Rfam family "Bacterial small subunit ribosomal RNA". The record is from RNAcentral.